Small nucleolar RNA from Ornithorhynchus anatinus (platypus), 134 nucleotides. The record is from RefSeq and is a predicted model, not a curated record. NCBI's taxonomy places the organism in Eukaryota, Metazoa, Chordata, Mammalia, Monotremata, Ornithorhynchidae.
CCCUUCUCAGGGUUGCACCUGGAGAGUUUCUAGAACUCUAUCAGCCUCGGCUGAGGGAGAGUCAAGCAGAGGCCUGACCAUUCCAUUCCCAGCUUGGCCAGUGGCUAGCGAGUGGAAGGCAAUCUGCUACAAGC